UGGGGAAUAUUGGGCAAUGGGCGAAAGCCUGACCCAGCAACGCCGCGUGAAGGAAGAAGGCUCUCGGGUUGUAAACUUCUUUGACAGGGGACGAAAUAAAUGACGGUACCCUGAAAACAAGCCACGGCUAACUACGUGCCAGCAGCCGCGGUAAUACGUAGGUGGCGAGCGUUGUCCGGAUUUACUGGGUGUAAAGGGCGUGUAGGCGGGGCGGUAAGUCAGAUGUGAAAUAUGGGGGCUUAACCCUCAAACUGCAUUUGAAACUAUCGUUCGUGAGUGAUGGAGAGGCAGGCGGAAUUCCGUGUGUAGCGGUGAAAUGCGUAGAUAUACGGAGGAACACCAGUGGCGAAGGCGGCCUGCUGGACAUUAACUGACGCUGAGGCGCGAAAGCGUGGGGAGCAAACA
This 405-nucleotide ribosomal RNA is filed under the name uncultured prokaryote. RNAcentral describes it as "bacterial SSU rRNA". It matches the Rfam family "Bacterial small subunit ribosomal RNA", at positions 355 to 774 of the family's 1533-position model. The record is from RNAcentral.